AGUGGAAUAACUGGGCCAAAUGGUAGUUUCAUUCCAGGUUUUCUGAGGAAUUUCCAUACUGCUUUCCAGAGUGGUUGCCCCAAUUUGCAACCCCACCAGCAAU
RNAcentral lists this microRNA precursor (103 nucleotides) under Marmota monax (woodchuck). Lineage: Eukaryota; Metazoa; Chordata; Mammalia; Rodentia; Sciuridae. The record is from RNAcentral.